AUGGGCCGAGAGUUGACAAGUGGUCUUGGGUGGGCAAGGGAGAUCCCAGGAGGACGCGUCGUGCUACUCGACAUCUUCAUGGUUGGCGCGGCCGGGGCGACGGUGCUGGAGGUUGGUGGUGCGGAGGAGGCGGUGACUGACCUGACGAAGGGUGCACAUGUUCGCGGAUUUCCCAGCGAUUUGGUGUGUGCCGAUCUUCCAAGCCAUUCUGACCGUGGAGGCGACCGGGUGUUCGAGCAGCUGUUCUUGCUCUGGCCACCAGUUGAUGAAGAGCGACAGAUAUCCCAUCCAAUGAGUGGUGAGAGAUAUCAUGCAGGAUGGAGUACCGGUUCAUGGAUUUCCUGGACAAAAUUGUUCUACUGGGUCAAGCUGUUGGUGCCAGGGCAUCAAUGCCAAGGUGGCAUAGGACAGAGAAUAAUUGUUUACCAAGGCAAGCUAAUGGAGAAUAACUGGAUCAGCAGCACAGUACAGAUGGUGGACUACUGCUAUGGUCUAUUAGAGGUGUGCGAGUAA
RNAcentral lists this ribosomal RNA (513 nucleotides) under Triticum aestivum (bread wheat). Its description in RNAcentral is "partial small subunit ribosomal RNA". Lineage: Eukaryota; Viridiplantae; Streptophyta; Magnoliopsida; Poales; Poaceae. The record is from RNAcentral.